CUCACACACCCAAAAUCCUUUCCUUUACUGCCCUCAAAAGAAACCUAACAGCCCUCAAAGAAACCUAACAGACUUCUUGCAAUCAAACCCAAGAGUGAAUAUAGCAAAUGAAAGGGUCGAAGCAAUUAUAGAUGAAAUCAAUUGGAUGAGGGAGAGGAAGAGAAGAAUACAGAGAGGGGGGAGAAGACCUAGCGCUCUCCGGCCACAACAGUUGAUAGUUGAUUGCUAUGGCCGUGAAGAUUUGGGGUUCUACAUAUCCCGUGGAAGUUGGCUUGUUCGUUUAUUCGGAGUAAAUUAGGUGUUAAAGUACAUUCAUUUGUACAUGUGGAGAGUUUAAUGUUUAUUGCUGCUGGAGUUUAUUUUGGUUAACAACAUAAACGGCACUAAAAUAUUAUUUGUGGUUGGAACCCUCUUCUGUAUGGCGCAACAAGAUAAAGGGCACUAAAAAACAACCCAUGGAUGCUGUUUGUGGUGGGUCGGGAGUUACUGACCCGUCUACCUUCUGGUUUUGAAACAUUCUGAGCUUUUUGGAAUUAGGCCCUCUUGUAAAAUGGCAAAUUAAAGAAAUGUGGUGAAAGCACCAAAUUGGUGUAUGCUAAUGUCACCACCCAAGAUGUGUCUUCUUUUGGAACCGACUGAUCAGAACAAAGAUGUUGAAACGAAGUUGAAAAAGGCUGAUGGUAUACCAGGUGUGGUUUCAUGCAAAGAAGGUAUAUGAAGGUGACAGAAGUCUCACAAAGAACUGCAGGCUUCUUGGAACAUUUGAUCCCUCCUGAAUCCCUCUAGCUCCAAGGAGGUGAAGGUGUUCAAUGAGCUUGUUCUUUCGGGCACAUCCAAAGGUCUUGUUCAUAUAUUCUUUGCACAAUGUGCAAUCUCAAAGGUACCUAAAGUUACUGAUGUUGGACUAAACCCACGGGUUGUCAACAAAGUUGCUGUUAUUGGUGGAGGUUUAAUGGGAUCCGGAAUAGCUACAGCUCUGAUUCUUGGUAAUAUAAACGUUGUUCACAAGGAAGUCAACUCUGAGUAUCUUCAAAAGGGACUAAAAACUGUAGAAGCAAAUGUCUGAGGUUUGGUUGCAAGAAAGAAGUUAGCACCGGCCUAAGCGGAAAAAGCCUCAUCGAUGAUUAAAGGUGUAUUAGACUACUCAGAAUUUAGAGACGUGGAUAUGGUAUAGAGUUAAGUUUAUCUUUAUAAUGUUGUCUUCUACAAACUAUUUUACAUCCUUAUAACACAAUAUAAGGAAUUCAUAAAAACAUAAUUUUGUAUAAUCCAUCAUAUGUUUAAUGAAGUAUCUUUGUUGAAAUAUUGUCUUUUCCAACAUGUGGCGUCCAUGUCAUUAUCGCCUGAAAAUGGGGUAAAAUGAAACAGUGGGUUAAGUGGGUUUAGAAUUAAAAAAAACAUUUGAUUGGUUAAUUUUUUAGAACUCCAAACUAGCCCAUAUCUAAAGUUUUGAGUGAGGGUUGCACCCUCAAAAUCGAGAAAUUAUGAGGAUAGAUAAGACGCCUGGUUGCAGUUCGGUUGAGAGUAAUGGACGCGUUUAUGAGUUUCUAAUUAGAGAGAAAUCGCACCCUCAAAAUCGAGAAAUUAGUGAGGUCUUGGUUCAUUUGAUGAAACAACUUGUUGGUUUUGAAGAUUUAGAUUGUCAAUUCGUUCUACUGUCAAGUGCUUAGUUAAAUGGCGUCAACUGCAGCUGCAAGUAAAUCAGCUAGAAAUAUCGAGGUUUGCAACAUUCAAGCACCUUACUAGCGUUAUCUUUUCUAGAGGUGGUAAAGUAGAUGGGUUGGGCUGGUCGGACCCGAAACAUGAGGUUGCCGCAAAGUUGCAAAACCAAAACGUUUAUAAAAGCUUUUGGGACGCGAAGAAACCUGGUAGAUUGUGCAGUUUUAGUUAACCAAAGCUGGUUAGUAAACACUUGUCUGGGGGUCUCUUAUUUUGCUAAUGCAGUGUUUUUGUGAUUGUUGGAUUCUGCAGAACUGAAUAGAAGUUCUAUAUCAUUUUUCCAUAUUCAUAAACAUGAAUCCGCUGUAUCGCGUUCGGCCAGAGCAAAAACAAGAGCUACCAAGGUUGGGAAAGGGUUAUUAAAGAAUUGUUAGCCCCAGAAGCUUGCUUUGCAGCAUUGGCUUGAGGCGGUAGUGGAAACCGUGGUUUUACAUGAUUUUUCUAACAUUGUUUAUAUCUCAUCUCUAUUGUUAAUUUUUUUUUGAACGACUAUUUUUAUUGUUAAAAAUUUAAUCUCUGUGAUUUGAACCCAAGAGCUCCCCUUCCUAACCCUUUGUGUUUAAACGCUUUAACUUUGCCAAUUGACCACCACCUUAUUAAGA
Helianthus annuus (common sunflower) is the source of this 2321-nucleotide long non-coding RNA. RefSeq lists it as uncharacterized. The record is from RefSeq and is a predicted model, not a curated record. The transcript is spliced from 7 exons. NCBI's taxonomy places the organism in Eukaryota, Viridiplantae, Streptophyta, Magnoliopsida, Asterales, Asteraceae.